This is a non-coding RNA of Pelobates cultripes (western spadefoot toad), 309 nucleotides long. NCBI's taxonomy places the organism in Eukaryota, Metazoa, Chordata, Amphibia, Anura, Pelobatidae. The record is from the annotation of a GenBank genome assembly.
GCACAUUUAAAAGUGAGAGAAUAUAGUCAAACAGGGGUUGCAUCACCCCACAUUCCCCCAAUUUCAAUUGUUUUCAGUUGUUCCGUUUUUAAAUUAACCAUUGCCCAAGUGGGUUGGUAGGAACUCUGGUAGUUGUUCAUUAAUAUUAUAUGGUAAUGUGUUCAUGUGAAGUAGUAAUAUCUAGACGCAAUCAACCCCAUACAGUAAUUAUCACUAGUUUAUGUUUCGCCUUGGACUGGAAUCUGAAGACUGUGACUGAUCUGUGUGCUUGAUGGCUGUGAUUUUAGAAUGAACUCUCCUUGAAUAUUG